CCGGUUCUAACUCAGAUCACGUAAAAUUUUAAAGGUCGAACUGACCUAAUAUUUCAGCUGCUACACCAAAAAUAAAUUUUAAUCCAACAUCGAGGUCGCAAACUUCUUAAUCAAUAAGAACUUUCAAAAUAAAUUACGCUGUUAUCCCUAAGGUAAUUUAAUCUUGUAAUCUAAAAAAUAGGAUCAAAAAAUCAUUAAUCAAUGUUAAAAUAAUAAAAAGUUAAACAAAUUUUUAUGUCACCCCAACAAAAUGUCUUAAAAAAUAAAAGAUAAUAAAAAUCCUUAAACAUGUUAUUUUAUUUACAUUAAACUCUAUAGGGUCUUCUCGUCUUUCUAAAAAAUUUAAGCUUUCUCACUUAAAAAUAAAUUUCUAAACCAUCUAAUAUAAGACAGUUAAUUUAUCAUCAAACCAUUCAUUCCAGCUUCUAAUUAAGAAACUAAUGAUUAUGCUACCUUUGAACAGUCAAUAUACUGCAGCCAUUUAAAUAUUCAUAGGGCAGGCCUUACCUUAAAUCAUAAAC
This 521-nucleotide ribosomal RNA is filed under the name Gonocephalum subspinosum. RNAcentral describes it as "partial 16S ribosomal RNA". The record is from RNAcentral. Lineage: Eukaryota; Metazoa; Arthropoda; Insecta; Coleoptera; Tenebrionidae.